Molecule: small nuclear RNA, 107 nt
Filed under: Octodon degus (degu)
Lineage: Eukaryota; Metazoa; Chordata; Mammalia; Rodentia; Octodontidae
Source: RNAcentral
GUGCUCACUUCGGCAGCACAUAUACUAAAACUGGAAUGAUACAGAGAAGAUUAGCAUGGCCCCUGCACAAGAAUGACAUGCAAAUUCGUGAAGCAUUCCAUAUUUUU